UCUUAGGCAAAUCCGGGAUCACUUACGCCGAGCACCGAGACGAGUCCUAUGAGGACGAAGUGACUGACACCACACUUCCAGGAAAAGCCACUAAGCUUCAGCUUAAGAAAAACCGUACCGCAAACCGACACAGGUAGGCAGGGUGAGAAUCCCAAGGCGCUUGAGAGAACUCGGGUGAAGGAACUAGGCAAAAUGGCACCGUAACUUCGGGAGAAGGUGCGCCCUUUGGUGUGGUCACGUGCGUGACUGAGCAUCGAAGGGUCGCAGUAACCUGGCCGCUGCGACUGUUUAUCAAAAACACAGCACUCUGCAAACACGAAAGUGGACGUAUAGGGUGUGACGCCUGCCCGGUGCUGGAAGGUUAAUUGAUGGGGUCAGCCGCAAGGCGAAGCUCUUGAUCGAAGCCCCAGUAAACGGCGGCCGUAACUAUAACGGUCCUAAGGUAGCGAAAUUCCUUGUCGGGUAAGUUCCGACCUGCACGAAUGGCGUAACGACAGCGGCGCUGUCUCCACCCGAGACUCAGUGAAAUUGAAAUCGCUGUGAAGAUGCAGCGUUCCCGCGGCAAGACGGAAAGACCCCGUGAACCUUUACUAUAGCUUUACACUGAACGUUGAGUUCUUCUGUGUAGGAUAGGUGGGAGGCUAUGAAACCAGGACGCUAGUUCUGGUGGAGCCAUCCUUGAAAUACCACCCUGAAGUGCUUGACGUUCUAACCUAGGCCCGUAAUCCGGGUCAGGGACCGUGUAUGGUGGGUAGUUUGACUGGGGCGGUCUCCUCCCAAAGAGUAACGGAGGAGCACGAAGGUACGCUCAGCGCGGUCGGACAUCGCGCACUGUGUGCAAAGGCAUAAGCGUGCUUGACUGCGAGAUCGACGGAUCAAGCAGGUACGAAAGUAGGUCUUAGUGAUCCGGUGGUUCUGUAUGGAAGGGCCAUCGCUCAACGGAUAAAAGGUACUCCGGGGAUAACAGGCUGAUACCGCCCAAGAGUUCAUAUCGACGGCGGUGUUUGGCACCUCGAUGUCGGCUCAUCACAUCCUGGGGCUGUAGCCGGUCCCAAGGGUAUGGCUGUUCGCCAUUUAAAGUGGUACGCGAGCUGGGUUCAGAACGUCGUGAGACAGUUCGGUCCCUAUCUGUCGUGGGCGUUGGAGAUUUGAGGGGGGCUGCUCCUAGUACGAGAGGACCGGAGUGGACGUUCCGCUGGUGUUCGGGUUGUCAUGCCCAUGGCAUUGCCCGGUAGCUACGAACGGAAGUGAUAACCGCUGAAAGCAUCUAAGCGGGAAGCACGCCCCAAGAUGAGAUCUCCCGAGAGCUUGACUCUCCUAAAGGCACCAUCAAGACUAGGUGGUUGAUAGGUCAGGUGUGGAAGCGCAGCAAUGCGUUGAGCUAACUGAUACUAAUGAGCCGUGAGGCUUGACC
This 1414-nucleotide ribosomal RNA is filed under the name metagenome. RNAcentral's name for it is "bacterial LSU rRNA". It matches the Rfam family "Bacterial large subunit ribosomal RNA", at positions 1530 to 2925 of the family's 2925-position model. The record is from RNAcentral.